UUUGGGUCCCCUUCCACACUGGAAGCUUUGUUCUUUUGCUCUUCACAAUAAAUCUUGCUGCUGCUCAUAGAAAGAUGCAAGCUAGUGCUAGCGAGACAGCCUGCAAAACCCCUGUGUUGUUUUGGGCUGUUAACCAUAGUCUGAGUGGCUUAGACAACAAACAUUUAUUUCUCACAGUUCUAGAGGCUAGAAGUCCAAGAGCAGAUGCCAGCAGACCUGUCUGGGGAAGGCCUGCUUCUUGGCCUGGAGACAGCCGCUUGCUCACUAUGUCUUCACAGGGCAGAGUGAACCCUGGUCUGUUUCUCUUACAAGGACACUCAUCCCACUGUGGGCCUCCACCUUUGUGAUUUCAUCUAUACCUAAAAGGCCCCACUUCCUAGUAUUCCGCCGGGGGUUCAGGCUUCAAAGAUGAAUACUGGGGGCGACACAAACGGAGCCCAUAACCUCAUGCCGCCUGACUCCUGAGGCUGUAUUCGUGAUGAACGUGUGGCUGCCCAAGUUUUGUUUUGCUCAGGCAGGAUCAGCACACACCCAGCCACAGACAGGGAAGCCCAGAGCAGGGCAGAAUAUGGUCCCUCAAGUGAAUAAUUGGCCCAGGGAUACAGAAUUAGGUGAUUCUAGCAAAUCCAGACAUUUUCUAGGGUGCCAGUGAAUUUUGGGUCUGUCCCUGUUAGCUGUUCUUGAGAUUUUGCACUCAACUUGCGAUGGUUAAUACGGAGUGUCAACUUGAUUGGAUUGAAGGAUGCAAAGUAUUGUUUCUGGGUGUGUCUGUGAGGGUGUUGCCAAAGGAGAUUAACAUUUGUGUCAGUGGGCUGGGAAAGGCAGACCCACCCUCAAUCUGGGUGGGCACCAUCUAAUCAGCUGCCAGCGUGGCCGGAAUAAAAGCAGGCAGGAGAAUGUGGAAAGACUAGACUAGUCUUGUGGCCUCCAUCUUUCUCCUGUGCUGGAUGCUUCCUGCCCUUGAACAUCGGACUCCAAGUUCUUCCGUUUUGGGACUUGGAUUAGCUUCCUUGCUCCUCAGCCUGCAGACGGCCUACUGUGGGACCCCUUCUUGCUGGAAUGCAAUGGCAUAAUCUCAACUCAUUGCAACCUUCACCUCCUGGGUUCAAGUGACUCUCCUACCUCAGCCUCUCGAGUAGCUGGGAUUAUAGGCACCUGCCACCACACCAGAUAAUUUUUGUAUUUUUGGUAGAGACGGGGUUUCGCCAUGUUGGCCAGACUGGUCUUGAACUCCUGACCUCGUGAUCCAUACACCUCGGCCUCCCAAAGUGCUGGGAUUACAGGCAUGAGCCAACACGCCCGGCAUGUUUUUCCUUUAAAAUCAGUCACAGCAAAAGUCACCGAGCAGACACUGUUCUGCCUUCUUCAGACAUUUUCUCUGGCUUCCUAGGAAUUGGGGUUUUUUUUGUUGUUUUUGUUUGUUUGUUUGUUUGUUUGUUUUAGUGUUAUUCAUCUUUUAGACUGGCCGUUCCCAUCUUAUUUGCACCUUUUGGGGAAAAGUUAACUUGCUCGAAAAUGAAAUGCACCCGAUGGCAUCUGCUGGCUUUACCUCAUGGUGAUGUUCCUUUAUGAACUAGUGACCAAAUGCUUCAUUCUCUUUUCUGAUUGUUUCCCUCCCUUUGCUCAUCCCCCACCUCAGUAAGACAUGUUACAUCAUUUUAAUGAGCAAGUGUACAUUUUUUUCCAGUGGGACUCAAAUUGUACGUUUGCUUCUUGGUCGUACAUGCAUUUUGUUUCACGGAUUUAGUUGUGUCUCCUGUUGUUCUGUGGUCAGGAUACGGGAUCAUUUGCUAGGCACUGAUUUGCUGAACACAGUAGUAUUUCGUUGAGUGGCCCUUCCUUGGAAACAACUGGCAAACUGAAAGCCUCCCUGUAAGGUGCUGAUUGCCUUCCAGAUCUGAGGACCCCGUCUCUGCCUCAUUCCUCCUGUUUCCAUCAGAAGACACAGGUCUGGGACUCAGCGCAGCUGACCUGUCUGUCCCUCUCUGCACAGUUUACUCCUGGGCUCUGCAGAGAGAAGUCAGUGCCUCAAUUUUCCAUUGAAAUAUGCACCCUUGGCAUCCUGGCAGGAGUGGCAGCCACAGCAAAACAUCUUCUGCAGCGUCUGGCCAGGGCGUUACUCCAGCCCAGUUUUGCCCUGGACUAGAUUGAGUCAGGUCGUGCAUGGAACGCAAGCACAAACCACGGUCAGCUCCUCGAGACUGACCCACUGGCCCACUGAGCAGAGGAGCCCCUGGGUCUCUGGACGCUGCCCAGUUGUUGACAUCCUGAGGCAGGUUUGCGGCUGAUGGAGCAACAGGGACGGGCUGGGCCCGGCACCUUUUUCACGGAAAUGAUGAGCUCUGGACAGCAGUGAUGCCAGGGCCCAUAAAGCCUCAGGCGCCCGUCAUUGCUGCUGCCUGCGUGUGCUCGCUCACCGCGACGGCGGCGGGCUGGAGGAAGCUGUGCAAGAGCCAAGUGUCUACCAUGAGUCUGCAUGUUCAUAUGGUUCAGAUUUGCCUUGGAAUCCCCGCGAGCCAAACUCUUUCAUUUCACUUAGUAAAAGGGAUGCAUUGACUCAGAUGUUCUGUCCUAUUUAAAUGAGAGGGGCGCGGGAGGUGAUGGAACACAAAACCAUGAGCCAUGGCUUUGCUGGGGAAUGCUGUGGAUCUGGUGUGUGAUAGAGAGAGAGUGUGUGUGCGUGUGUGUGUGUGUAUGGCAAAGUGCACAAAUCGCACGUGUACACCUCAGUGGCUUUUUACACAUUUAGACGUGUGUAAGUGUAUAGAGCAUUUCCACACCCCAGAGGCCCCGAGCUCACUCCCUCCCGCUCUCCCCAUCCCUGACGCUAACCUGAU
This 2837-nucleotide long non-coding RNA is filed under the name Homo sapiens (human). RNAcentral's name for it is "HSALNT0234550". Lineage: Eukaryota; Metazoa; Chordata; Mammalia; Primates; Hominidae. The record is from RNAcentral.